GACGAACGCUGGCGGCGUGCUUAACACAUGCAAGUCGAACGGAAAGGCCCUGCUUUUGUGGGGUGCUCGAGUGGCGAACGGGUGAGUAACACGUGAGUAACCUGCCCUUGACUUUGGGAUAACUUCAGGAAACUGGGGCUAAUACCGGAUAGGAGCUCCUGCUGCAUGGUGGGGGUUGGAAAGUUUCGGCGGUUGGGGAUGGACUCGCGGCUUAUCAGCUUGUUGGUGGGGUAGUGGCUUACCAAGGCUUUGACGGGUAGCCGGCCUGAGAGGGUGACCGGCCACAUUGGGACUGAGAGACGGACCAGACGCCUACGGGAGGCAGAAGUGGGGAGUAUUGCACAAUGGGCGGAAGCGUGAUGCAGCAACGCCGGGUGCGGGAUGACGGCCUUCGGGUUGUAAACCGAUUUCGACUGUGACGAAGCGUGAGUGACGGUAAUGGGUAAAGAAGCACCGGCUAACUACGUG
Molecule: ribosomal RNA, 468 nt
Filed under: uncultured bacterium
Lineage: Bacteria
Description: partial 16S ribosomal RNA
Rfam family: Bacterial small subunit ribosomal RNA
Source: RNAcentral